CGAUGCGAUCAUACCAGCACUAAAGCACCGGAUCCCAUCAGAACUCCGAAGUUAAGCGUGCUUGGGCGAGAGUAGUACUAGGAUGGGUGACCUCCUGGGAAGUCCUCGUGUUGCAUUCC
Molecule: ribosomal RNA, 119 nt
Filed under: Sorghum bicolor (sorghum)
Lineage: Eukaryota; Viridiplantae; Streptophyta; Magnoliopsida; Poales; Poaceae
Also listed under: 6 other names
Source: RNAcentral